GGAGGAGUCGCAUAGCGGCCAAUUGCACAGGAUUGCUAAUCCUGAGCCCUUACCGGCUACGUGGGUUCGAAUCCCACCUCCUCCG
Molecule: transfer RNA, 85 nt
Filed under: Candidatus Woesebacteria bacterium
Lineage: Bacteria; Candidatus Woeseibacteriota
Description: tRNA-Ser
Rfam family: tRNA
About the family: Transfer RNA (tRNA) molecules are approximately 80 nucleotides in length. Their secondary structure includes four short double-helical elements and three loops (D, anti-codon, and T loops). Further hydrogen bonds mediate the characteristic L-shaped molecular structure. tRNAs have two regions of fundamental functional importance: the anti-codon, which is responsible for specific mRNA codon recognition, and the 3' end, to which the tRNAs corresponding amino acid is attached (by aminoacyl-tRNA synthetases). tRNAs cope with the degeneracy of the genetic code in two manners: having more than one tRNA (with a specific anti-codon) for a particular amino acid; and 'wobble' base-pairing, i.e. permitting non-standard base-pairing at the 3rd anti-codon position.
Source: RNAcentral